AGUUUAACUCCUCUCAUUCUUAUGAACUAAGCUAUGCAUUUCACAUCUCUAUAAAUAGCUCUCAUAUCGAUCAUCUCUUCACUUCACUCCCUAGCAUUCUUCCUCUCCUUAAAACCAUCUCUAUAUAUUCUUUCAAGCUUACACACAUCCUUCAUUUUUGCUUUCCAAAUGGCCAGUGUUGAGGUAUAUAUCUCAGCUCAACUACCAAUUCUCUUAUGUAUAUAUGUUAUUAAAUCAGUCUUUCCUUAGCAUUGAUCUUACUCACUGUUUGUAGUUAAAUGGUUCUCCUCUUCUUUUAGUUAUGCUGAUGGUCAAUUUCUUCUUCUGGAUGGAAGGAUCUAUCCAUGUGUGAUACAGAAGAUGAUUUUAUUUAUUUUAAACAGCUUUUUAUUUAUUCAUUUCACCCAGAUCGAGUCUCUAACUAGAGAUCUCAUCACAAUCCUGUUGUAGAUGAAUCACACAGUUCUUUCUGUCAUUUGUUGCUGAUAUAGAACUGAUGGCAACUAACAUAGUUUCAUGAUCUUUUCAAAAACCCACUAUUGAUUUUACUGAAUCUUUUUUCAAUAUGUCUCUGCAUGGUAUUAUAAGUUUAGGUAUUUGGAUCGUGUUCUUAUCUUGGACAAAUGGAUUGAAAGUUGAUGAUUCACGAAAAGAUUAAUCUAAUCUAGUUACUAGUAUUUGAUUAUUUACCGGGAAAAUGAUUCGAUGUGGGUUCUUGCAGGUUGAAUCAGCUGCAACAGCAUUGCCAAAGAAUGAGACACCUGAGGUGACCAAGGCUGAGGAGACGAAGACCGAAGAACCUGCAGCACCACCUGCCUCUGAGCAAGAAACCGCCGAUGCUACACCUGAAAAAGAGGAACCUACAGCUGCUCCCGCAGAACCGGAAGCUCCAGCUCCUGAAACCGAGAAGGCUGAAGAAGUAGAAAAGAUUGAGAAGACCGAGGAGCCUGCACCAGAAGCAGAUCAAACGACUCCAGAGGAAAAGCCAGCUGAGCCUGAGCCUGUUGCAGAGGAGGAGCCCAAACAUGAGACCAAAGAGACUGAAACAGAGGCCCCUGCAGCUCCUGCAGAGGGAGAGAAGCCAGCUGAAGAAGAGAAGCCAAUUACUGAAGCAGCAGAGACAGCCACCACAGAAGUUCCGGUGGAAAAAACAGAGGAAUAAAUAGGUCUAUUAUGCAUAUCAAAGAAAGGGGGGGAUCGAGUUCCUGUUAUUUAUUAUAUUUUCUUUAUUAAUUUAUGAUUAUGAUUAUUAAGGAUCGAUUUGGAUGGUUUUGGAGAAUAGAACCUAGAGUCAGUCUUUGAGCAAAAACUGGGAUCCAUCUAUGUCGAUCAGGGCACUUGCCAGAGAUGAGUUACUGUGAGGUCUACAUGGAUUAUGGUAUGUAGAUGGUUAGUGAUAUUUAUGGUGUGAUGUGAUGAUGUGAUUUGUUGUUUUGAUAAUAAUGAUUUCUCUUGCCAAUUAGUGUUUGUGCUUUCAAAUAAGUGUGUAUUAGGUUUAUAAUUUCGGUUUAUUAUUUUAUUAAAAUAAUAUAAAUUAUAAA
This 1541-nucleotide unclassified non-coding RNA is filed under the name Hevea brasiliensis (rubber tree). The record is from RNAcentral. Lineage: Eukaryota; Viridiplantae; Streptophyta; Magnoliopsida; Malpighiales; Euphorbiaceae.